Molecule: ribosomal RNA, 494 nt
Filed under: uncultured bacterium
Lineage: Bacteria
Description: bacterial SSU rRNA
Rfam family: Bacterial small subunit ribosomal RNA
Source: RNAcentral
AAAGGAAUAGACGGGGGCCCGCACAAGCGGUGGAGCAUGUGGUUUAAUUCGAUGAUACGCGAGGAACCUUACCUGGGCUCAAACGUAAGUUGACUAUAUGUGAAAUCAUAUAUCCCUUCGGGGCAAUUUACGAGGUGCUGCAUGGUUGUCGUCAGCUCGUGCCGUGAGGUGUCGGGUUAAGUCCCAUAACGAGCGCAACCCCUAUCAUUAGUUGCCAUCAGGUCAAGCUGGGGACUCUAAUGAAACUGCCUACGCAAGUAGAGAGGAAGGUGGGGAUGACGUCAAAUCAGCACGGCCCUUACGUCCAGGGCUACACACGUGCUACAAUGGCCGGUACAGUGGGCAGCUACUUAGUGAUAAGAUGCUAAUCUCCAAAUCCGGUCUCAGUUCGGAUCGAAGUCUGCAACUCGACUUCGUGAAGUUGGAAUCGCUAGUAAUCGCACAUCAGCUAUGGUGCGGUGAAUACGUUCCCGGGCCUUGUACACACCGCCCGU